Molecule: long non-coding RNA, 1483 nt
Filed under: Cricetulus griseus (Chinese hamster)
Lineage: Eukaryota; Metazoa; Chordata; Mammalia; Rodentia; Cricetidae
Description: lncRNA (ENSCGRG00000025135.1)
Source: RNAcentral
CAUUAGUCAUUUGUUUUGGAAUUCUCACAAGCAAAGGGUCACCUGCCGGGCCUGAGCCUUGUAGUGGUGGUGGUGACACACUGCUCAGGCCUGUGCCCUCGUGGACAUGUCCUCCAGGUUUUGUUACCAGCUUAACUUUGUGGAUUGGCCUUGGGGUGACUCAGCCCAAGUGUUGGUGACACCUUGGGAGGCCUGGCUUCAGUGCCAUCAUGUGCACCAAGCUUCCAGCAGUCUACAUCCAACUAGGAAAGACAAAGCCAGGGUGAUGCCCAGGGGCUGGUAUGGUGGUGCCCGCCUCAGUACCAGCGCUGGAGCGGUGGAUCUCUGUGAGUCUGACGACAACCUAGUCUACGUGGAGUAGCAGUUCUCAACCCCUUUGGGGGCUGGAUGACCUUUCAUGGGGGGGGGGUCUCCUAAGGCCACCAGAAAACACAGAUAUUUACAUUAUGAUUCAUAACAGUAGCAAAGUCAGAGUUGUGAAGUAACAAUGAAAUAAUUUAUUAAAGGGUCACAGCCUUAAGAAGGUUCAGCACUACUGACAGAGAUCCAGACCAGUCAAGAUUACACAGUGAGACCCUGUCUCAAGACAAAAAUGAAAACGAAAACAAAAGAAUGAUGCGAGGGCGAGGCAUUUGGAAAAGGGAGUGUGGCUCAGGCUCUGUCUGCCAGCGACUGGUAGGAGGAGGGGAGCUUUGUUUGAAAGGCAAGCGUGGGGAGCCCAAUGUGAAGCAUUGGUGCCACCUAGUGGCUCUACUGGGUACUGUUAGCAUUACUGCUUGACACUAAGACCUUGAAUCUGCCCUGGGUUACUUACCUAAGUUCUUGGGAGCUAGGCAGAUGCCAUGGACCCCAAGAAGGGGGAUUUUUCUAUCCAUUUAAUGUCUCAUAAGUCACAUUUUCUUGAUGUCGAAGUUACCUGGACCCACAGAAGACAUAUAUCACUCUAGUUUCAUGUCCGUUUCUUCCCCCCAUUAGAGCAUUAGAAAAGGAACAAGUUACCAUAUUUGUCUUUUUGUGAUUGGGUUACUUCGCUCAGAAUGGUUUCUUUGAGUUCCAUCCAUUUUCCUGCAAAUUUCAAGAUUCCAUUGUUUUUUUCUGCUGAGUAGUACUCCAUUGUAUAAAUGUACCACAUUUUCUCUAUCUAUUCUUCGGUUAAGGGGCAUCUAGGCCGCUUCCAGUUUCUGGCUAUUACAAAUAGUGCUGCUAUAAACAUGGUUGAACACUCAUAUGUGGACCUGCUUUAUGAUACAUAAUAGUGACCGUGCUCUAUCAGAGCUGGUUUCCUUCCAGAUGAUGAUUGAGAAGCUAAUUUAAAAAAAAAAUGGUGCCAGGUACCACAAGAGUAACAGAACUGUGCUGUUUUUCUGGGAUUUUGUUUUUUAUUUAUUUUUUUAAAUGGAGAGUGCUGGAUGUCUCUACAAUUUUGUUCAAAUGAUUGCAGAACCUGGAAAAGCUGUUGCUGCUAUUGAUUCAUAACAUACUG